Non-coding RNA from Arabidopsis thaliana (thale cress), 168 nucleotides. The record is from RefSeq. NCBI's taxonomy places the organism in Eukaryota, Viridiplantae, Streptophyta, Magnoliopsida, Brassicales, Brassicaceae.
GCUCUUAUCAGUCUUGUGGUCAUAUGAUUCAGCAAUCAAGUGGCAAUUCAUAUCUCAAUUUGGAGACGGGGACAUUGAUGUAAAUUUUGUGGUUUCAUUUUAUUGUCCUAUUUGUAUGAUGUACUUUCAGGUGAAACUUUGAUUCAGUAGCCAAGAGAAAAUGAGGGG